UGGGGAAUUUUGGACAAUGGGCGAAAGCCUGAUCCAGCCAUGCCGCGUGCGGGAAGAAGGCCUUCGGGUUGUAAACCGCUUUUGUCAGGGAAGAAAUCCUUUGAGCUAAUACCUCGGGGGGAUGACGGUACCUGAAGAAUAAGCACCGGCUAACUACGUGCCAGCAGCCGCGGUAAUACGUAGGGUGCAAGCGUUAAUCGGAAUUACUGGGCGUAAAGCGUGCGCAGGCGGUCUUGUAAGACUGUCGUGAAAGCCCCGGGCUUAACCUGGGAACUGCGAUUGUGACUGCAUAGCUAGAGUACGGUAGAGGGGGAUGGAAUUCCGCGUGUAGCAGUGAAAUGCGUAGAUAUGCGGAGGAACACCGAUGGCGAAGGCAAUCCCCUGGACCUGUACUGACGCUCAUGCACGAAAGCGUGGGGAGCAAACA
This 427-nucleotide ribosomal RNA is filed under the name uncultured bacterium. Its description in RNAcentral is "bacterial SSU rRNA". It matches the Rfam family "Bacterial small subunit ribosomal RNA", at positions 355 to 774 of the family's 1533-position model. The record is from RNAcentral.